RNAcentral lists this ribosomal RNA (429 nucleotides) under Chloroflexota bacterium. Its description in RNAcentral is "Chloroflexi bacterium partial 16S ribosomal RNA". It matches the Rfam family "Bacterial small subunit ribosomal RNA", at positions 355 to 776 of the family's 1533-position model. The record is from RNAcentral. Lineage: Bacteria; Bacillati; Chloroflexota.
UGGGGAAUAUUGCACAAUGGGCGCAAGCCUGAUGCAGCCAUGCCGCGUGUAUGAAGAAGGCCUUCGGGUUGUAAAGUACCUUCAGCGGGGAGGAAGGGAGUAAAGUUAAUACCUUUGCUCAUUGACGUUACCCGCAGAAGAAGCACCGGCUAACUCCGUGCCAGCAGCCGCGGUAAUACGGAGGGUGCAAGCGUUAAUCGGAAUUACUGGGCGUAAAGCGCACGCAGGCGGUUUGUUAAGUCAGAUGUGAAAUCCCCGGGCUCAACCUGGGAACUGCAUCUGAUACUGGCAAGCUUGAGUCUCGUAGAGGGGGGUAGAAUUCCAGGUGUAGCGGUGAAAUGCGUAGAGAUCUGGAGAAAUACCGGUGGCAAAGGCGGCCCCCUGGACGAAGACUGACGCUCAGGUGCGAAAGCGUGGGGAGCAAACAGG